Camelina sativa (false flax) is the source of this 1332-nucleotide non-coding RNA. Lineage: Eukaryota; Viridiplantae; Streptophyta; Magnoliopsida; Brassicales; Brassicaceae. The record is from RefSeq and is a predicted model, not a curated record.
UUAAACAAUUUUUGAUCUUCCCAAUUGCUUUAUCUCUCUCAUCCAUCGCUUCACCAUAAAAGACCAAUCACCGGUGGCCGGAAAACAUGAGCAGCUCGUGACUUGGGGAUCCGAGCAUGAACAUCGAAGAUUACCUUCCUUCUGGUUCCUCCAUCAAUGAGCCUCCGUGGCCUGUACAUGUACAUGUCUCCUUCGUGAUUUACAAUGAUUCUUGAAUUGGUUGUAUCCCCCAACCCUCACUGUAGAAGGCACCAUUGCAUACAUGAAUUUUGGAUUCUUGAUGAUAAUAAGAUCUCAAGGGCUUAGCUGAUCUGGCACAGGCGGGUAGAAAAUGUUAUAGACUUCUCUACCUUAGGGGGAGUUGUUGUUGUUACUUGUUAGAUACUACUGUCUUCUCUUUCCCUUGAGCUCAUUUGCAGAAAGGCCAAGAUUAUUAAUUACUAGGUUUCGGCAAGAUAGAGGGAGCUCAACCUCAUGGACCUGAGUUUUCAAAUAUCACAUGCAACGUCCUAAGCAGUUCUCAACUCUCUGUAUCUCCCAUGUUACUUACUUGUAUACCUAUGCUUAUUUUAUGAAUUGGGGGUUUAAACAUGUCUUUGUAAUGUUUCCCACCGCACUUCAGUGAUUGAUUUCAUCGUCUUGGAGCAGAUGACCGCAUUUGCUGUUAUAAUCCAGAAACAUCCUUGCUGGGUUGCUAAGUCUCAGGGUGAUCGCAGAAGUUCUCCUCUGGAGGGUAUUGCAGAGUAUGCUUUUUGAGUAUGCCUACCUCCUCAACAACAGGAAGGAAUCUUUACAAGCGGUGCAUAAGGCUGAAAUCAUGAAACUUGCAGGUUGUUGCAAUUCGGCGUCAUGGUAACACCCAAUCUCUAUGGGAAUUUAGUUGCAAACACUGCUGCUGGUAUUGCUGGAGGGACAGGAGUCAUGCCUGGAGGAAAUGUUGGGGCAGACCAUGCAGUUUUUUGAGCAAGGUGCAUCAGCAGGAAAUGUUGGGAAAGACAAAGCAAACCCAGUGGCAUUGCUUCUCUCAUCAGCGAUGAUGCUUAGACACCUUCAGUUUCCUUCAUUUGCUGACCAGCUUGAAGCAGCAGUGAAAUAUGCAAACUUUUCUGGAUUCUUCAUAAUUCCAAAAAGAUGAAUGGAAAUUGAUGGGUGUAUAUCUCUUAUUGCGCUAAACAGAUGUAAAAGUUGUAUUUAUGGAUCAAGACAACUAAACCCAACUGAUCAAACUGUUCAGCAAACGAACAAGCUGCAAAAGUGAGUCUUAAAGUCCAUGAGGGAUGAUGAAUUAGUUCUGUCUGUUGAAAAAAUGAAACACCACGAUCUUUACAUUCA